GUCAAGCGAAUAAGCGUAUAUGGUGGAUGCCUUGGCAGUUAGAGGCGAUGAAGGACGUUGUAGUCUGCGAUAAGCCUGGGGAAGGUGACAAACAACCGUUAUAUCCCAGGAUUUCCGAAUGGGGAAACCCGACCUUAGGGUCAUCGUGCACUGAAUACAUAGGUGUACGAAGCUAACCCGGUGAACUGAACCAUCUAAGUAACCGGAGGAAAAGAAAUCAACCGAGAUUUCCUAAGUAGCGGCGAGCGAACGGGAAACAGCCUGCAAGUGAUAGAUGACGUAUUAGUGGAAUAGUCUGGGAAGACUAACGAUAGAGGGUGAUAGUCCCGUACACGAAAGCGCAUAGUGAAUGAAUCUGAGUAGGUCGGGACACGUGAUAUCCUGAUUGAAUAUGGGGGGACCAUCCUCCAAGGCUAAAUACUCUCUACCGACCGAUAGUGAACCAGUACCGUGAGGGAAAGGC
This 463-nucleotide ribosomal RNA is filed under the name Schmidingerella taraikaensis. Its description in RNAcentral is "partial Bacterial large subunit ribosomal RNA". It matches the Rfam family "Bacterial large subunit ribosomal RNA", at positions 1 to 515 of the family's 2925-position model. The record is from RNAcentral. Lineage: Eukaryota; Ciliophora; Spirotrichea; Tintinnida; Rhabdonellidae.